This is a long non-coding RNA of Orcinus orca (killer whale), 728 nucleotides long. RefSeq lists it as uncharacterized. NCBI's taxonomy places the organism in Eukaryota, Metazoa, Chordata, Mammalia, Artiodactyla, Delphinidae. The record is from RefSeq and is a predicted model, not a curated record. The transcript has 3 exons.
GCUCAAACUCAAAGUUCGGUGGAUGCUGGUAGACUUUUUAUCUGGAGAUAAAGGAAGGUGCUGAACUGAGGUGAGAAAAUGGACUCUCUCAUCUGAAUUUCUCCUCCAAAAUUGUUACCUGAUAACGAGUAUCAGUGACAGUUAACCACAGAGGAUGAAAAGGAUUAUCUGGAGGUAUGCACCCGUAGCAGCUCUGCAGUCCAGCAAUUAAACUUUGCAGUAGUAGCCAGUUCCCCGCCCAGGGAUCAAACCCGUGGCCCCUGCAGUGGGAGCACGGAGUCUUAACCGCUGGACCGCCAGGGAAGUCCUCAAGUGCAUCUCUUCUCCUCCAUGGUACCACCAUAGCCUCUCCCAGGUGGCCGUCAGCUCUCUGGAUUCUACAAUAUCUUCCAAACUGGCAUCCUUAUACCAGCUCUCAACUCCUGACCCUGACUCGCUCCUACCGACUGCAGAUCCCAGGAGGGAAGGAAACAGAGAAUUUUUGCCUAACAUAAUGCCUGUCAUAUUGUGGGUUUAAAAAUAUAUCUACCAAGGAAAAUGACUGAAUAAUCAGCAUUUAUGUGAUGAAAACAUAACUGGGCCAAGAAAAUGGUACUACAGUCACUGUCACAUGAAUAUCAGUUUGUUAAUGAAGAGAUCAGUGCGGUGUGCCAUGAACAUAAAAAUAAACAAAAUGGAACAGAGUGAAUGGGUCCCAAAUUUAUUAUUUUUUGUUAUGUAUGACACAG